UUUGACUUAAAACACUUUCACCUUUCUGUAACAGUCAUGUAUAAAGGUUGCUCUUGACUUUGUGUCUCCUGAAAAUCUUCACGAGUGCAUCCGUCUGACUGAAGAGUUCCGCACUCUUCCCCAAAAUCACAGAGCCAAGGAGGACAAGUUGGAGGUGAAGAAAAUGAGUAUUUAUGCAAUGAGAGAAGCUCUAAAAUGCUUGGAAGAAGUUGCAAAGGAUUCCAUCGAUAAGGGUGAGAACAAAAAAUCAGAAAAUGAUAGAGCUCAGAACGAUGAUAGAGAAAAUUCAGCAGACGAUCAUGAUGAUUCAAAAGAUGAGUAGAUGAGACAAGAUUCAAUAGCCCAAAGGAGGAUUUUGAAAUGGAUUGACAAAGGCUCUAAGUGAAGAUGCCCUUUUUGGAUUAUGCCUGCAUAUGAUUAUCUAACUUAAGAUGUAUCUAAUAGUUAAUCUCUUUGGCGUGUAGGCUCUUUGUUCUAACCUGACCCAUGUUUGUUAGUUUAGUUUUGGGGUUUUCUAUGUGCAUUUCAAGUUUAUUGUGUUAGUAAUUCAAUGAAAACGGUACGUACAAGUUUUGGUUUGUCUAUCUAGUCCUUGCGUUUCGUCUGA
Molecule: non-coding RNA, 607 nt
Organism: Nicotiana tabacum (common tobacco)
Lineage: Eukaryota; Viridiplantae; Streptophyta; Magnoliopsida; Solanales; Solanaceae
Source: RefSeq, a predicted model, not a curated record